Molecule: non-coding RNA, 772 nt
Organism: Coturnix japonica (Japanese quail)
Lineage: Eukaryota; Metazoa; Chordata; Aves; Galliformes; Phasianidae
Source: RefSeq, a predicted model, not a curated record
UGGAGCCAAAAUCCCAUUGUUUUACCCCAAAAAAUCACCGAGAAAUUGAGGAAAAGCGAAUUUUAGUUAUAGGGUUUUAUAGGGUUUCGGGUUUCCUAUCCAUACCAUUACACAAAGUCAUUAGGAAGGUAAAGAUUAAGGUUCUCCAAUGCCACCCGACCUCAUUAAUAGUCAGUUUGACCCAAAAUCCCAUUGUUUUACCCCAAAAAAUAAGGGGAUAUUGUUAUAGGGUCUUAUGGGGUCUUAUAGGGUUUCGGGUUUCCUAUCCAUACCAUUACACAUAGUCAUUAGGAAGGUAAAGAUUAAGGUUCUCCAAUGCCACCCGACCUCAUUAACGGUGGGUCGGACCCAAAAUCGCCCUAUUUAGCCCCAAAAAUUAAUAGGAUCGGGUUAUAGGGUCUUAUAGGGUUUCGGGUUUUCUAUCCCUAUCAUUACCCCAAGUCUUUGAGGACAUGGGGUAGAAGGUUCUCCAAAGCCACCCGACCUCAUUAAUGUUGGGUUGGACCCGAAAUCCCACUAUUUAGCCCCAAAAAUUAAUGGGAUCGAUUAUAGGGUCUUGUAGGAUUUGGGGUCUUUUAGCCGUUUAGAACCUGAAAUGACCCUAAACCUCCCAUUCUAACCCCAAAAGACCCUAAAUCUCCCAUUCUAACCCCAAAUGACCCUAAACCUCCCAUUCUAACCCCUAAUGACCCUAAAUCUCCCAUUCUAACCCCAAAUGACCCAAAAUCUCCCAUUCUAACCCCAAAUGACCCUAAAUCUCCCAUUCUAACCC